UGCAGCCACCAUACCUCAAGCUGUGAUCUUGUCAGAGCUCAUAAGCAAAGCAGAGCCAGGCAGGUGAGGCAGCAG
RNAcentral lists this ribosomal RNA (75 nucleotides) under Dromaius novaehollandiae (emu). The record is from RNAcentral. Lineage: Eukaryota; Metazoa; Chordata; Aves; Casuariiformes; Dromaiidae.